UACGUAGGGUCCGAGCGUUGUCCGGAAUUAUUGGGCGUAAAGAGCUCGUAGGCGGUUUGUCGCGUCUGCUGUGAAAUCCCGAGGCUCAACCUCGGGCCUGCAGUGGGUACGGGCAGACUGGAGUGCGGUAGGGGAGAAUGGAAUUCCUGGUGUAGCGGUGGAAUGCGCAGAUAUCAGGAGGAACACCAACGGCGAAGGCAGCUCGCUGGGACGGAACUGACGCUGAGGCGCGAAAGCGUGGGGAGCGAACAGG
Molecule: ribosomal RNA, 253 nt
Filed under: uncultured bacterium
Lineage: Bacteria
Description: partial 16S ribosomal RNA
Rfam family: Bacterial small subunit ribosomal RNA
Source: RNAcentral